GCCUCUAUAGCUCAGUGGUAGAGCGUCAGUCUUAUAAACUGAAGGUCUGUAUUUAGAUCUUGCAUGGGGGCA
This is a non-coding RNA of Hibiscus syriacus, 72 nucleotides long. The record is from the annotation of a RefSeq genome assembly. NCBI's taxonomy places the organism in Eukaryota, Viridiplantae, Streptophyta, Magnoliopsida, Malvales, Malvaceae.